This 271-nucleotide ribosomal RNA is filed under the name uncultured bacterium. Its description in RNAcentral is "partial 16S ribosomal RNA". It matches the Rfam family "Bacterial small subunit ribosomal RNA", at positions 524 to 794 of the family's 1533-position model. The record is from RNAcentral.
UACGGAAUGUGCAAACGUUAUUCGGAAUCACUGGGCUUAAAGAGUCCGUAGGCGGCUUGUUAGGUGAGGUGUGAAAUCCCUCGGCCCAACCGAGGAAUUGCGCUUCAAACCGGCAAGCUCGAGGAGGAUAGAGGUGGGCGGAACUGAUGGUGGAGCGGUGAAAUGCGUUGAUAUCAUCAGGAACACCGGAGGCGAAGGCGGUCCACUGGGUCCUUUCUGACGCUGAGGGACGAAAGCUAGGGUAGCGAACGGGAUUAGAAACCCUUGUAGU